UGACUUCUUCCAACUGGUUACCCU
This 24-nucleotide non-coding RNA is filed under the name Arabidopsis thaliana (thale cress). The record is from RNAcentral. Lineage: Eukaryota; Viridiplantae; Streptophyta; Magnoliopsida; Brassicales; Brassicaceae.